This 1818-nucleotide long non-coding RNA is filed under the name Brassica napus (rape). Its description in RNAcentral is "long non-coding RNA (BNAP_LNC017146)". The record is from RNAcentral. Lineage: Eukaryota; Viridiplantae; Streptophyta; Magnoliopsida; Brassicales; Brassicaceae.
CUUCAUCCACGGUGUUGUUACUGUAGGCAGCUGGUGGGAGAGAGAGACGAGAGUCAAACACAAAAAGAUUCCCAACCCAGUCAGAUGUGCCUUCUUCCUCAAGAUAAUGGGAAACUCCACCCUUGAGUGUAUACAGGUUCUUGAAACCCCGCUGUCUGAAAAGAAAUUUGACUUCUCACAAGAAAGUUAUUUGGGAAAAACAUUUGUUUUUGGGAGGAGAUGGUAGUAUGAGAAUGGAGUAGAGAAGCCAUAGUGGUACCUCAGAAUUGUUGAAUAUACAUCGCAACGUAUACCUCCAGUGCAGUACAUCAGUAUAUCUGUUUUUUCCUUGUCAACAUUAAUCAAAGGGUCUGAAGGAGCUUCCUAUAGUGUCAAAAUCUCUAGUGUUAGAUAUAUUAACCUCUAAUACGUUACAAUAUGUAACCUACAGAUAAGACUUGUCUGAUCACUUUCUCUUAAUCUACAGAUUGUAAAUAAGAACUUUUCAGCUUAGGAUUAAUUUUUACCUUUUCAUCAGAUAGCCCAAAAGAAGUGUUCCGAAAGCAAUCAACUUCAGGUCUACGUGCCCCACGAAAAUGACCAACAUCCCAUUCAUAACCUGCUCAAAUUAAACACCAGCCACCAGUAGGUUUAACUAGAGCAAUAUGUGGUGCACUGUACGAAUCACAGACUAUCAUAAGUGAUCAGACGUAGUUACUAGAUAAUAAGAGGAAUCAAGACUGUUCUGUUACUGUAUACAAAUGGAAAUACCGUUUCUGACAUCCAAUAAUAUGCAGCUUCUGCCACUAUCUGAAGGUGAUGCUUCACCGUCAUCCGUUAAGUCUUUUAGCUUCUCUUUCCAUUCAGAUGGUUCUAAGGGUUUUGCUCGCAUCGGUGGAUCAAGUAAGGGAAGGUGUGAAAUUCCUCCCUCAUACUAUAGAACAACAAAAAACCAACCAAUGUUGAGUAAUCUUACAAUAUAUCACAAGGCAAUGCACUAUCACGCAUGUGAAGUAAGAAUCUUGAAUCCAACAGAACAAAAAGUGGCGUUGAAUGGAUGUAUCUUACCUGCACUAAGGAAGGUUUGUUCUGCAGCUUCAACUUAGGGAAUGCAUGCCUACCGAUAGCAGGAGACAUCUGAACAAGUAUAUCGGAGAACCUCUCAUCUUCUUUCAACCAUUCAACAUAUGCAAGAGCGUCUUUAGAUGGUCCACUGUACUGCAGAAAACAAGAAUUACACAAAUAAACACACAAGACUUUGUCCUAGCUUAGUAUAGUCAAAUUAUAUACUUCAAAGCUACACAUGUGAAUGAAAAAGGAUAACGAUACCUGUGCGUUGAUUCCUUGUUCAUUUAGAUAUAUCCGACCACGUAUAUUCAAAUCCUGGAAAGGUGUCAUAACCAAAAAAAAAAAAAAAAAAAGCUUUCAAUUAUAUAAACCAAAGAGAAUGCUUUCAGUUCACGACCGUUUCAGUGAAAAAAAGACCGAACUAGUCCAAACUAAACGGACCUGUAAGAAAGAGAGGUGCUUUUCAAUCUCAGCGGCGGGAUCUUGGAUUGAUACAAAGCGAUAGAAGUUCCUGUAGGCAGCUGGUGGGAGAGAGAGACGAGAGUCAAACACAAAAAGAUUCCCAACCCAGUCAGAUGUGCCUUCUUCCUCAAGAUAAUGGGAAACUCCACCCUUGAGUGUAUACAGGUUCUUGAAACCCCGCUGUCUGAAAAGAAAUUUGACUUCUCACAAGAAAGUUAUUUGGGAAAAACAUUUGUUUUUGGGAGGAGAUGGUAGUAUGAGAAUGGAGUAGAGAAGCCAUAGUGGUACCUCAGAAUUGUUGAAUAUACA